AUUGAACGCUGGCGGCAGGCCUAACACAUGCAAGUCGAGCGGAUGAAGGGAGCUUGCUCCUGGAUUCAGCGGCGGACGGGUGAGUAAUGCCUAGGAAUCUGCCUGGUAGUGGGGGAUAACGUCCGGAAACGGGCGCUAAUACCGCAUACGUCCUGAGGGAGAAAGUGGGGGAUCUUCGGACCUCACGCUAUCAGAUGAGCCUAGGUCGGAUUAGCUAGUUGGUGGGGUAAAGGCUUACCAAGGCGACGAUCCGUAACUGGUCUGAGAGGAUGAUCAGUCACACUGGAACUGAGACACGGUCCAGACUCCUACGGGAGGCAGCAGUGGGGAAUAUUGGACAAUGGGCGAAAGCCUGAUCCAGCCAUGCCGCGUGUGUGAAGAAGGUCUUCGGAUUGUAAAGCACUUUAAGUUGGGAGGAAGGGUAGUAAGUUAAUACCUUGCUGUUUUGACGUUACCAACAGAAUAAGCACCGGCUAACUUCGUG
Molecule: ribosomal RNA, 484 nt
Filed under: uncultured bacterium
Lineage: Bacteria
Description: partial 16S ribosomal RNA
Rfam family: Bacterial small subunit ribosomal RNA
Source: RNAcentral